This 375-nucleotide ribosomal RNA is filed under the name uncultured organism. RNAcentral describes it as "partial 16S ribosomal RNA". It matches the Rfam family "Bacterial small subunit ribosomal RNA", at positions 527 to 897 of the family's 1533-position model. The record is from RNAcentral.
GUAGGUGGCAAGCGUUGUCCGGAAUUAUUGGGGCGUAAAGCGCGCGCAGGCGGUUCUUUAAGUCUGAUGUGAAAGCCCACGGGCUCAACCGUGGAGGGUCAUUGGAAACUGGAGAACUUGAGUACAGAGGAGGAAAGCGGAAUUCCACGUGUAGCGGUGAAAUGCGUAGAGAUGUGGAGGAACACCAGUGGCGAAGGCGGCUUUCUGGUCUGUAACUGACGCUGAGGCGCGAAAGCGUGGGGAGCAAACAGGAUUAGAUACCCUGGUAGUCCACGCCGUAAACGAUGAGUGCUAAGUGUUAGGGGGUUUCCGCCCCUUAGUGCUGCAGCUAACGCAUUAAGCACUCCGCCUGGGGAGAACGGCCGCAAAGGCUGA